Molecule: ribosomal RNA, 495 nt
Filed under: uncultured bacterium
Lineage: Bacteria
Description: partial 16S ribosomal RNA
Rfam family: Bacterial small subunit ribosomal RNA
Source: RNAcentral
GACGAACGCUGGCGGCGUGCCUAAUACAUGCAAGUAGAACGCUGAAGGAGGAGCUUGCUUCUCUGGAUGAGUUGCGAACGGGUGAGUAACGCGUAGGUAACCUGCCUGGUAGCGGGGGAUAACUAUUGGAAACGAUAGCUAAUACCGCAUAAUAUUGACUAUUGCAUGAUAGUCAGUUGAAAGGUGCAACUGCACCACUACCAGAUGGACCUGCGUUGUAUUAGCUAGUUGGUGGGGUAACGGCUCACCAAGGCGACGAUACAUAGCCGACCUGAGAGGGGGAUCGGCCACACUGGGACUGAGACACGGCCCAGACUCCUACGGGGGGCAGCAGUAGGGGAUCUUCGGCAAUGGACGGAAGUCUGACCGAGCAACGCCGCGUGAGGGAAGAAGGGUUUCGGGUCGUGAAGCUCUGUUGUAAGAGAAGAACGAGUGUGAGAGUGGAAAGCUCACACUGUGACGGUAUCUUACCAGAAAGGGACGGCUAACUACGUG